Molecule: transfer RNA, 75 nt
Filed under: Vibrio parahaemolyticus
Lineage: Bacteria; Pseudomonadati; Pseudomonadota; Gammaproteobacteria; Vibrionales; Vibrionaceae
Also listed under: 7 other names
Description: tRNA-Cys
Rfam family: tRNA
About the family: Transfer RNA (tRNA) molecules are approximately 80 nucleotides in length. Their secondary structure includes four short double-helical elements and three loops (D, anti-codon, and T loops).
Source: RNAcentral
GGCGGCAUAGCCAAGUGGUAAGGCAGGGGACUGCAAAUCCCUUAUACCCCGGUUCGAAUCCGGGUGCCGCCUCCA